CUGCGAGUUCCGCGGGAGAGUAGGUUAUUGCCAGGGUUUUUAUUUUUAUACUUUAAACUUUGAUUUUAUUUUUAUGUUUUUUAAAUAUUGGUGUUUUUGAAUGUGUUGUUUAAAUAACAUAAAAAAUAAAAUAUAUAUUGACAUGUAUUAAACAAAGAUAUAUAUUAUUUUAUGUUGUAUAAAUAAAUUGGCAAAAUAGAGAUGGAAGAUAAAAAUAUGGUCAAAGUAAUAAGAGUCUAUGGUGAAUGCCUAGGA
RNAcentral lists this unclassified non-coding RNA (255 nucleotides) under Borreliella burgdorferi (Lyme disease spirochete). Its description in RNAcentral is "partial miscellaneous RNA". The record is from RNAcentral. Lineage: Bacteria; Pseudomonadati; Spirochaetota; Spirochaetia; Spirochaetales; Borreliaceae.